RNAcentral lists this ribosomal RNA (491 nucleotides) under uncultured bacterium. RNAcentral describes it as "partial 16S ribosomal RNA". It matches the Rfam family "Bacterial small subunit ribosomal RNA", at positions 29 to 507 of the family's 1533-position model. The record is from RNAcentral.
AGUGAACGCUGGCGGUAGGCCUAACACAUGCAAGUCGAACGGCAGCACAGUAAGAGCUUGCUCUUACGGGUGGCGAGUGGCGGACGGGUGAGGAAUACAUCGGAAUCUACUUUUUCGUGGGGGAUAACGUAGGGAAACUUACGCUAAUACCGCAUACGACCUACGGGUGAAAGCAGGGGAUCUUCGGACCUUGCGCGAUUGAAUGAGCCGAUGUCGGAUUAGCUAGUUGGCGGGGUAAAGGCCCACCAAGGCGACGAUCCGUAGCUGGUCUGAGAGGAUGAUCAGCACACUGGAACUGAGACACGGUCCAGACUCCUACGGGAGGCCGCAGUGGGGAAUAUUGGACAAUGGGCGCAAGCCUGAUCCAGCCAUACCGCGUGGGUGAAGAAGGCCUUCGGGUUGUAAAGCCCUUUUGUUGGGAAAGAAAAGCAGCAGGUUAAUACCCCGCUGUUCUGACGGUACCCAAAGAAUAAGCACCGGCUAACUUCGUG